RNAcentral lists this ribosomal RNA (573 nucleotides) under Triticum aestivum (bread wheat). RNAcentral's name for it is "partial small subunit ribosomal RNA". Lineage: Eukaryota; Viridiplantae; Streptophyta; Magnoliopsida; Poales; Poaceae. The record is from RNAcentral.
AUGCGGCGGCACUACGCCGAGCUCUUCCGCCGCGCCGCCUCGCUGCCGUCUCUCUCGCUGGUGGCCUCCCUCCACGGCGCCGCACUCCGCCGAGGCGCGGUCCUCGUCCCCUCGCUCAUCCAUGCCUACUCCGCGUGCGGCGACCCAGCCUCCGCCCGCAGCGUGUUCGACGGAUUGCCCGCACAGGAGCAGACGCUCUCCGCGCGCACCGCGCUGGCCAGCGCGAUGUCCGCGCACGGCAGGUGCCGGGAGGUGCUCGGCCUGUUCCGCGGACGGGAGGGGGAGAUGGACGACAAGGCGGUGACGGUGGUCCUUGCCGCGGCCGGGAUGGUCAGUGAGGGGAGGGAAGUCUUCGCGAGGGUCAGGAGGCCAGCGUUGCAGCACUACACGUGCAUGGUGGAGAUGCUCGGACGUGCUGGGGAGGUCGAGGAGGCAGAGGGGCUGCUCGCGCGGAUGGAGGCACGGCCAGACAGGAUCAUCUGCACGGUGCUGCUCGCUGCGUGCCGGGCGCAUGGCCGUGUCGAUGUGGCUGAGAGAGUGGCUAGGUUGAUGAGCGAGUAUGGCAUUGUGUGA